AGCAGUAUUGAACUGAAGAGUUUGAUCAUGGCUCAGAUUGAACGCUGGCGGCAGGCCUAACACAUGCAAGUCGAGCGGAUGAAGGGAGCUUGCUCCUGGAUUCA
RNAcentral lists this ribosomal RNA (104 nucleotides) under Pseudomonas aeruginosa. Its description in RNAcentral is "partial 16S ribosomal RNA". It matches the Rfam family "Bacterial small subunit ribosomal RNA", at positions 1 to 94 of the family's 1533-position model. Lineage: Bacteria; Pseudomonadati; Pseudomonadota; Gammaproteobacteria; Pseudomonadales; Pseudomonadaceae. The record is from RNAcentral.